This 253-nucleotide ribosomal RNA is filed under the name uncultured bacterium. Its description in RNAcentral is "partial 16S ribosomal RNA". It matches the Rfam family "Bacterial small subunit ribosomal RNA", at positions 524 to 776 of the family's 1533-position model. The record is from RNAcentral.
UACGGGGGGGGUAAGCGUUGUUCGGAAUUACUGGGCGUAAAGGGCUCGUAGGCGGCCAACUAAGUCAUACGUGAAAUCCCAAAGCUUAACUUUGGUGCUGCCUUUGAUACUGCAAGUCUGGAGUUUGAGAGAGGGUAAUGGAAUAUCUGGUGUAGCAGUGAAAUGCGUAGAUAUCAGAUAGAACACCAAUGGCGAAGGCAGUUACCUGGCUCAAUACUGACGCUAAAGCACGAAAGUGUGGGGAGCAAACAGG